Molecule: non-coding RNA, 72 nt
Organism: Phrynosoma platyrhinos (Desert horned lizard)
Lineage: Eukaryota; Metazoa; Chordata; Lepidosauria; Squamata; Phrynosomatidae
Source: the annotation of a GenBank genome assembly
GCCAGCAUAGUGUAGUGGUUUGAACAUUGGACUACUGCUCUGGAGAUCAGAGUUCAAUUCCCUGCUCGAGCA